UACAGAGGGGGCAAGCGUUGUUCGGAAUUACUGGGCGUAAAGGGCGCGUAGGCGGCCUUCUAAGUCGAACGUGAAAUCCCUGGGCUCAACUCAGGAACUGCGUCCGAUACUGGAAGGCUUGAAUCCGGGAGAGGGAUGUGGAAUUCCAGGUGUAGCGGUGAAAUGCGUAGAUAUCUGGAGGAACACCGGUGGCGAAGGCGACAUCCUGGACCGGUAUUGACGCUGAGGCGCGAAAGCCAGGGGAGCAAACGGG
Molecule: ribosomal RNA, 253 nt
Filed under: uncultured bacterium
Lineage: Bacteria
Description: partial 16S ribosomal RNA
Rfam family: Bacterial small subunit ribosomal RNA
Source: RNAcentral